GAUCUGCCCGCCUCAGCCUCCCAAAGUGAGAAAGUGGCUAUUUCUAUCCUCAGUGUUCAGAAACCAGUGAGCACCAAAAAAUGGCUUAUAGCCUGACAUUU
This is a small nucleolar RNA of Chlorocebus sabaeus (green monkey), 101 nucleotides long. NCBI's taxonomy places the organism in Eukaryota, Metazoa, Chordata, Mammalia, Primates, Cercopithecidae. The record is from Ensembl.